AUCGGUUACGGUGACAUAACUCCUCACACAUACCUUGGACGUUUAAUCGGUUCCAUAUGUGCCCUAGCAGGUGUACUCACCAUUGCUUUGCCAGUACCUGUGAGUUAUAUUUAU
Non-coding RNA from Angiostrongylus costaricensis, 114 nucleotides. Lineage: Eukaryota; Metazoa; Nematoda; Chromadorea; Rhabditida; Metastrongylidae. The record is from Rfam.